UACGUAGGGUGCGAGCGUUGUCCGGAAUUUAUUGGGGCGUAAAGAGCUUGUAGGCGGUUUGUCGCGUCUGCCGUGAAAAUCCGGGGCUCAACCCCGGACUUGCGGUGGGUACGGGCAGACUAGAGUGUGGUAGGGGAGACUGGAAUUCCUGGUGUAGCGGUGAAAUGCGCAGAUAUCAGGAGGAACACCGAUGGCGAAGGCAGGUCUCUGGGCAAUUCCUGACGCUGAGGCGCGAAAGCGUGGGGAGCAAACAGG
RNAcentral lists this ribosomal RNA (255 nucleotides) under uncultured bacterium. RNAcentral describes it as "partial 16S ribosomal RNA". It matches the Rfam family "Bacterial small subunit ribosomal RNA", at positions 524 to 776 of the family's 1533-position model. The record is from RNAcentral.